This 478-nucleotide ribosomal RNA is filed under the name uncultured Geobacillus sp. RNAcentral's name for it is "bacterial SSU rRNA". It matches the Rfam family "Bacterial small subunit ribosomal RNA", at positions 904 to 1382 of the family's 1533-position model. The record is from RNAcentral. Lineage: Bacteria; Bacillati; Bacillota; Bacilli; Caryophanales; Anoxybacillaceae.
CUUAAGGAAUUGACGGGGCCCGCACAAGCGGUGGAGUAUGUGGUUAAUUCGACGCAACGCGAAGAACCUUACCAGGUCUUGACAUCCCCUGACAACCCAAGAGAUUGGGCGUUCCCCUUCGGGGGACAGGGUGACAGGUGGUGCAUGGUUGUCGUCAGCUCGUGUCGUGAGAUGUUGGGUUAAGUCCCGCAACGAGCGCAACCCUCGCCUCUAGUUGCCAGCAUUCGGUUGGGCACUCUAGAGGGACUGCCGGCGACAAGUCGGAGGAAGUGGGAUGACGUCAAAUCAUCAUGCCCCUUAUGACCUGGGCUACACACGUGCUACAAUGGGCGGUACAAAGGGCUGCGAACCCGCGAGGGGGAGCGAAUCCCAAAAAGCCGCUCUCAGUUCGGAUUGCAGGCUGCAACUCGCCUGCAUGAAGCCGGAAUCGCUAGUAAUCGUGGAUCAGCAUGUCACGGUGAAUACGUUCCCGGGUCUU